GGUGUGAUUCAUGACUGGGGUGAAGUCGUAACAAGGUAGCCGUAGGGGAACCUGCGGCUGGAUCACCUCCUUAAUCGACGA
RNAcentral lists this ribosomal RNA (81 nucleotides) under Pseudomonas putida. Its description in RNAcentral is "partial 16S ribosomal RNA". It matches the Rfam family "Bacterial small subunit ribosomal RNA", at positions 1461 to 1533 of the family's 1533-position model. The record is from RNAcentral. RNAcentral also lists the same sequence under 1 other name. Lineage: Bacteria; Pseudomonadati; Pseudomonadota; Gammaproteobacteria; Pseudomonadales; Pseudomonadaceae.